This 497-nucleotide ribosomal RNA is filed under the name uncultured bacterium. RNAcentral describes it as "partial 16S ribosomal RNA". It matches the Rfam family "Bacterial small subunit ribosomal RNA", at positions 28 to 507 of the family's 1533-position model. The record is from RNAcentral.
GACGAACGCUGGCGGCGUGCCUAAUACAUGCAAGUUGAGCGCUGAAGGUUGGUACUUGUACCAACUGGAUGAGCAGCGAACGGGUGAGUAACGCGUGGGGAAUCUGCCUUUGAGCGGGGGACAACAUUUGGAAACGAAUGCUAAUACCGCAUAAAAACUUUAAACACAAGUUUUAAGUUUGAAAGAUGCAAUUGCAUCACUCAAAGAUGAUCCCGCGUUGUAUUAGCUAGUUGGUGAGGUAAAGGCUCACCAAGGCGAUGAUACAUAGCCGACCUGAGAGGGGGGUCGGCCACAUUGGGACUGAGACACGGCCCAAACUCCUACGGGAGGCAGCAGUAGGGAAUCUUCGGCAAUGGACGAAAGUCUGACCGAGCAACGCCGCGUGAGUGAAGAAGGUUUUCGGAUCGUAAAACUCUGUUGGUAGAGAAGAACGUUGGUGAGAGUGGAAAGCUCAUCAAGUGACGGUAACUACCCAGAAAGGGACGGCUAGCUACGUG